AGUGAACGCUGGCGGUAGGCCUAACACAUGCAAGUCGAACGGCAGCACAGUAAGAGCUUGCUCUUACGGGUGGCGAGUGGCGGACGGGUGAGGAAUACAUCGGAAUCUACUUUUUCGUGGGGGAUAACGUAGGGAAACUUACGCUAAUACCGCAUACGACCUACGGGGGAAAGCAGGGGAUCUUCGGACCUUGCGCGAAUGAAUGAGCCGAUGUCGGAUUAGCUAGUUGGCGGGGUAAAGGCCCACCAAGGCGACGAUCCGUAGCUGGUCUGAGAGGAUGAUCAGCCACACUGGAACUGGGACACGGUCCAGACUCCUACGGGAGGCAGCAGUGGGGAAUAUUGGACAAUGGGCGCAAGCCUGAUCCAGCCAUACCGCGUGGGUGAAGAAGGCCUUGGGGUUGUAAAGCCCUUUUGUUGGGAAAGAAAAGCAGCAGGUUAAUACCCCGCUGUUCUGACGGUACCCAAAGAAUAAGCACCGGCUAACUUCGUG
RNAcentral lists this ribosomal RNA (492 nucleotides) under uncultured bacterium. RNAcentral's name for it is "partial 16S ribosomal RNA". It matches the Rfam family "Bacterial small subunit ribosomal RNA", at positions 29 to 507 of the family's 1533-position model. The record is from RNAcentral.